Molecule: long non-coding RNA, 426 nt
Organism: Clupea harengus (Atlantic herring)
Lineage: Eukaryota; Metazoa; Chordata; Actinopteri; Clupeiformes; Clupeidae
Exons: 2
Source: RefSeq, a predicted model, not a curated record
UAUACUCUACCUGUACAGGAAGUGGUUUGGGGUCAAAGGUAUACUCUACCUGUACAGGAAGUGGUUUGGGGUCAAAGGGUCUGAUAAUGAAGCAGAGGCAAGGUGAAUGUAGAGUAGAUUAUCUGUCCUAGUUCUAUACCCUACAAUGUCACCACAGGGUGAUAAAAAAAUUAAUAUAAAUGCUUAGUUUGUUUAUGUUUAACUUCACCUGGAUAUCGUUAAUGGCAGGAUUUGUGUAUAAUUAACGCAUCCACAGUGAAAAGAAAUGCAUAAGGCUGUGCUGUGUUUCAUCACUCAUUUAGUAACAAUUCAAUUUGACAUCAGCAAUGACAAUUCCACAGAUUAAUGACAAUUUACAUGACAAUUCCACAGAGUAAUGACAAUAGGCAAAAAACAAAAAAAACAAGAAAUAAACAAUACAAAUAA